This 359-nucleotide unclassified non-coding RNA is filed under the name fungal sp. RNAcentral describes it as "partial internal transcribed spacer region". The stretch from base 1 to 46 matches the Rfam family "Eukaryotic small subunit ribosomal RNA", at positions 1786 to 1831 of the family's 1831-position model. The record is from RNAcentral. RNAcentral also lists the same sequence under 1 other name. Lineage: Eukaryota; Fungi.
AAGUCGUAACAAGGUUUCCGUAGGUGAACCUGCGGAAGGAUCAUUACAGUGCUCGUCGGUACGCCGCGCCUCCGGGCGUGGGCGUGCCGCACCUGCCCCACCCGUGUCUACCUUUACCUUCUGUUGCUUCGGCGGGCCCGCCUUGCCACGUAGGCACGCCUACCACCCCCUCCUAACCACGGAGACGAGGGAGUAAGCGUGCCUACGCAGCGGGCGGACCGGGGACCCCGCGUACCCACGCGGCCCCUGGCCAGCGCCCGCCAGAGGACCGUCUGAACCUUCUUGUGAAUACACGACCAGUCUGAGAUUUUAUAUCAAAAAUACAGUCAAAACUUUCAACAACGGAUCUCUUGGUUCUG